RNAcentral lists this ribosomal RNA (472 nucleotides) under uncultured bacterium. RNAcentral describes it as "bacterial SSU rRNA". It matches the Rfam family "Bacterial small subunit ribosomal RNA", at positions 355 to 825 of the family's 1533-position model. The record is from RNAcentral.
UGGGGAAUUUUGGACAAUGGGCGCAAGCCUGAUCCAGCCAUACCGCGUGAGUGAAGAAGGCCUUCGGGUUGUAAAGCUCUUUCAGACGGAAAGAAACGGUUACGGCUAAUACCCGUGACUAAUGACGGUACCGUAAGAAGAAGCACCGGCUAACUACGUGCCAGCAGCCGCGGUAAUACGUAGGGUGCGAGCGUUAAUCGGAAUUACUGGGCGUAAAGCGUGCGCAGGCGGUUUGGUAAGACAGAUGUGAAAUCCCCGGGCUUAACCUGGGAACUGCAUUUGUGACUGCCAGACUAGAGUGUAGCAGAGGGGGGUAGAAUUCCACGUGUAGCAGUGAAAUGCGUAGAUAUGUGGAGGAAUACCGAUGGCGAAGGCAGCCCCCUGGGCUAACACUGACGCUCAUGCACGAAAGCGUGGGGAGCAAACAGGAUUAGAUACCCGUGUAGUCCCUGAGCGGGCUGGCAAGGCGCAU